RNAcentral lists this ribosomal RNA (488 nucleotides) under uncultured bacterium. RNAcentral describes it as "partial 16S ribosomal RNA". It matches the Rfam family "Bacterial small subunit ribosomal RNA", at positions 28 to 507 of the family's 1533-position model. The record is from RNAcentral.
GACGAACGCUGGCGGCGUGCUUAACACAUGCAAGUCGAACGGAAAGGCCCUGCUUCUGUGUGGUGCUCGAGUGGCGAACGGGUGAGUAACACGUGAGUAACCUGCCCUCGACUUUGGGAUAACUUCAGGAAACUGGGGCUAAUACUGGCUAGGAGCUCCUGCUGCACGGUGGGGGUUGGAAAGUUUCGGCGGUUGGGGAUGGACUCGCGGCUUAUCAGCUUGUUGGUGGGGUAGUGGCUCACCAAGGCUAUGCGGUGUCGCCGGGCUGAGAGGGUGAACAGACAGAAUGGAAGUGAGAGACGGGCCAGACGGAUAGGGGAGGCAGCAGUGGGGAAUAUUGCAGAAUGGGAGGAAGCCUGAUGCAGGUAUGGCGCGUGUAUGAAGAAGGACUUCGGGUUGUAAAGUAAUGUAAGGGGGGAGGAAGGGAGUAAAGUUAAUACGUUGGCUCAUUGACGGUACCCGAAGAAGAAGCAAGGGCUAACUCCGUG